UGGGGAAUAUUGGACAAUGGGCGCAAGCCUGAUCCAGCCAUGCCGCGUGAGUGAUGAAGGCCCUAGGGUUGUAAAGCUCUUUCACCGGUGAAGAUAAUGACGGUAACCGGAGAAGAAGCCCCGGCUAACUUCGUGCCAGCAGCCGCGGUAAUACGAAGGGGGCUAGCGUUGUUCGGAUUUACUGGGCGUAAAGCGCACGUAGGCGGACUAUUAAGUCAGGGGGGAAAUCCCGGGGCUCAACCCCGGAACUGCCUUUGAUACUGGUAGUCUUGAGUUCGAGAGAGGUGAGUGGAAUUCCGAGUGUAGAGGUGAAAUUCGUAGAUAUUCGGAGGAACACCAGUGGCGAAGGCGGCUCACUGGCUCGAUACUGACGCUGAGGUGCGAAAGCGUGGGGAGCAAACAGG
This 404-nucleotide ribosomal RNA is filed under the name Actinomycetes bacterium. Its description in RNAcentral is "Actinobacteria bacterium partial 16S ribosomal RNA". It matches the Rfam family "Bacterial small subunit ribosomal RNA", at positions 355 to 776 of the family's 1533-position model. The record is from RNAcentral. Lineage: Bacteria; Bacillati; Actinomycetota; Actinomycetes.